Molecule: long non-coding RNA, 1580 nt
Filed under: Capra hircus (goat)
Lineage: Eukaryota; Metazoa; Chordata; Mammalia; Artiodactyla; Bovidae
Description: lncRNA (ENSCHIG00010006620.1)
Source: RNAcentral
AUGGGUAGAAAGUGCACCUGGAGAGCAACAGGAAGAUAUUUGACAGAAGGACCAUGUGACUUCAGACAGAAUGUGUGUGUUAAGUGGAAGGUGGGAAAAAAGGAUAAGGACUGGAUUGCAACUGCAGAGGCAGCAACAGCUGAACCUUUAAAGAUGCAUACGGGGCUGCACAAAGAGAAGAGAGAAACUGGAGAGACCAAUGAAGUGAGGAAAAAGUAUGUUUCCUGGGUAAACAGUAUAAUUCUGAAUGUUAAGUUUCUUGCCAUAUAUCAGUUACCAUCAAUUUGUCAUGCCUAAGCCUUUAUAGCCAAUAUUUAUUGCUGCUAAACAUUUUUUCUCCUUCCUUGACUUUUAUUGGUGAGCUCUUUGAUCAAAUGAUUCUUUUAUUGAUUAAUCUAAAAACUGUAUAUUGAAUAUAUAGUUGAGGUGACUUCAUAGGUCACUUGAUAGGAGCCUGUUUUAUUAUAUCUUAGGUUGACCAUUGGGUAUUAUGAAAGUAGAGUUGUGUGCUGUGUCUCUUGUAACGCACAGGUUUACUUCAAGGUCAGCUUUUUGGUCUGAGUGCAAAACUUAAACUUCUGCUUUAUUAAAUGACUGAUUUGAAAAACUCUGGUUUGGAUACCAAGUUAUCCAAGCUAUGUUCUUGGCAGUGCCCUCUGCAAUAGCAAUCUUAAUACUAAAGACGAAGCAGACUGGCAAAUAAUUAAUGUAAAUAGCUGUCGCUUUCUCUUGAUGAAAUAGAUGUGCCCUAGUAAAGUUAUAUGUGUGUGUGUGUGUGUGAGAGAGAGAGAGAGAGUUGGGAACUCAUUUUAUUGUUACCGUGCCUCUCACAAGCUUAGAUAUUGAGGGGUUUUGUUGUUGAAGUUUUUUUAAGUAAAGCAAAUUUAUUACAUUAUUUAUGAUUAUAAAGAACCUUUCUUCAGUUUACUGAUUAGAGUGUUUUGGAAAGAAAGCAAAAGAAAUGGAGUCAGAGUUAUUGCUGGUAUGUAAUGGAGGCUCUGUGCACAGGAGCCGGGCUUGGACAACCCAUGAGAGCAUCGCUGCGUCUCCACCAGCCUGGGCCACCCAGCCCAUGGGAAUUUCCCCACAGUUGUUACUUGUGGAACUUCCUGCCUCAUGGUGGAUUGUAGCCAGGCUGCUGUUGGCUAGAAGAUACAGUCCUGUUUUCUCAUUUUUUAGCUUUGAGUUGCAAGGUGGAGUAAAAACUGUUCAGUGGCCUUUGUAUAUCAGUCCUCUAAGCUGAAAGUGGCAUAAGGCAGGUUUGUUUGUUUGGCCAGGCCACACAGCUGGUGGGAACUUAGUUCCCCAGCCAGGGAUCGAACCCAUGCCUAUAGCAGUGAAAGCACUGUGUCCUAACAACCAGGCUGCCAGCCCAGUCCCCAGGCCAAGUUUAUCGUGAGUGAACUCAUGCACACAUUUUCUAGUGCUCACCUUCACACCGACUCUGCGUCAGUUAUACCAUCUCCUUACGGUUCUCCAGUCGGUCUUCAGUCUUCUCCUCCUGGACAGCCACAUGGCCCCUGCCCACCUUCUCCUUCAGGUUUCUGCUGGCGGGGGGAUGGGGGGGGGGGGGGUGGGGG